Octodon degus (degu) is the source of this 137-nucleotide non-coding RNA. The record is from Ensembl. Lineage: Eukaryota; Metazoa; Chordata; Mammalia; Rodentia; Octodontidae.
UGGCUCUGUUUCCUGGGAGGUGGACUCAGCUCUCUCUACCUCCCCUCAACUGAGCCUACAGAACAGGGGCUGGCUCUCUGGUGUGGGAGAGGUAUUUAAGAAAGGAGCCUCACCCGGGCUGUCUCAGCCUCACAUUU